This 253-nucleotide ribosomal RNA is filed under the name uncultured bacterium. RNAcentral describes it as "partial 16S ribosomal RNA". It matches the Rfam family "Bacterial small subunit ribosomal RNA", at positions 524 to 776 of the family's 1533-position model. The record is from RNAcentral.
UACAGAGGGUGCAAGCGUUACUCGGAAUUACUGGGCGUAAAGCGUGCGUAGACGGUUAUUUAAGUCAGGUGUGAAAGCCCCGGGCUCAACCUGGGAAUUGCAUUUGAGACUGAAUAGCUAGGGUGCGGAAGAGGGAAGCGGAAUUUCCGGUGUAGCGGUGAAAUGCGUAGAUAUCGGAAGGAACACCAGUGGCGAAGGCGACUCUUUGGCCUGUAACUGACACUGAGGCGCGAAAGCGUGGGGAGCAAACAGG